AUAAAAGCAAGUAUGGUUCAUGAAAACCAACAUGAAUUGUGGUGCAUUGGUGGGAGCGUUUUACUCUUAAAUAGAGGUCUCGAUUCUCGAAUUCGAGCCCUAAUAUAAACAAAAUCCUGUUGAGAGCGCUAUCCCUGAAUGGGCUCUCCAGUGAACAAGUUGUAGAUAGCCCUAGCCUACACUUGACUUGCCUCAUUAAGCAACAUAUAUAACAGUUCCUAGCAUUCAACUUGAUUUCAAUAUUCACUUGUUCUGCAGCUUUCAAUUGAAGGUACUGCUAGAGACAUUUUAAAGGUGAGCAACGCCGAUUGAGUAGUACAAUUGAUGUGAUGUGUUCUCACUCUCACUAUCUUCUCAAGAAGAAGAUGAUGAAGAGGCAUUAAAAUGGGCUUCUAUAUAUAGUUAAACCUCCAACGUAUCUUCGUAUAAGGAGAGGUGUAUUAACUGAACAAGGACAGUCUAGAGAAGUUGAUAUAACUGAUCUUAGAAAGACUCGUCGAAAUUGCAGAGGAAGACAAUGACAAGUUCUUGUUAAAGCUCAAACAAUCAUAUUGAUAGAGUUGAUCUUGAUCUUCCAACAAUACAAGUAGGGAGCUUCGAUCAACUGAGUGUAGAUGAAGAAACUUGUGUUGGCAAUAGAGGCAAUGUGCUGAUCAUGCUGUUUACCUUUGGCUGGCAAACUAGAUGGAGU
Solanum pennellii is the source of this 691-nucleotide long non-coding RNA. RefSeq lists it as uncharacterized. NCBI's taxonomy places the organism in Eukaryota, Viridiplantae, Streptophyta, Magnoliopsida, Solanales, Solanaceae. The record is from RefSeq and is a predicted model, not a curated record. The transcript has 3 exons.